CACUCCUGCGGGAGGCAGCAGUAGGGAAUCUUCCACAAUGGGUGCAAACCUGAUGGAGCAAUGCCGCGUGAGUGAAGAAGGUCUUCGGAUCGUAAAGCUCUGUUGUUAGAGAAGAACACGUGCUAGGUAACUACUAGCGCCUUGACGGUAUCUAACCAGAAAGUCACGGCUAACUACGUGCCAGCAGCCGCGGUAAUACGUAGGUGACAAGCGUUGUCCGGAUUUAUUGGGCGUAAAGGGAGCGCAGGCGGUCUGUUUAGUCUAAUGUGAAAGCCCACGGCUUAACCGUGGAACGGCAUUGGAAACUGACAGACUUGAAUGUAGAAGAGGAAAAUGGAAUUCCAAGUGUAGCGGUGGAAUGCGUAGAUAUUUGGAGGAACACCAGUGGCGAAGGCGAUUUUCUGGUCUAACAUUGACGCUGAGGCUCGAAAGCGUGGGGAGCGAACAGGAUUAGAUACCCGUGUAGUCCCAUG
RNAcentral lists this ribosomal RNA (473 nucleotides) under uncultured organism. RNAcentral's name for it is "partial 16S ribosomal RNA". It matches the Rfam family "Bacterial small subunit ribosomal RNA", at positions 334 to 799 of the family's 1533-position model. The record is from RNAcentral.